AGUGAAUGCUGGCGGUAGGCCUAACACAUGCAAGUCGAACGGCAGCACAGUAAGAGCUUGCUCUUACGGGUGGCGAGUGGCGGACGGGUGAGGAAUACAUCGGAAUCUACUUUUUCGUGGGGGAUAACGUAGGGAAACUUACGCUAAUACCGCAUACGACUUACGGGUGAAAGCAGGGGAUCUUCGGACCUUGCGCGAUUGAAUGAGCCGAUGUCGGAUUAGCUAGUUGGCGGGGUAAAGGCCCACCAAGGCGACGAUCCGUAGCUGGUCUGAGAGGAUGAUCAGCCACACUGGAACUGAGACACGGUCCAGACUCCUACGGGAGGCAGCAGUGGGGAAUAUUGGACAAUGGGCGCAAGCCUGAUCCAGCCAUACCGCGUGGGUGAAGAAGGCCUUCGGGUUGUAAAGCCCUUUUGUUGGGAAAGAAAAGCAGCAGGUUAAUACCCCGCUGUUCUGACGGUACCCAAAGAAUAAGCACCGGCUAACUUCGUG
This 492-nucleotide ribosomal RNA is filed under the name uncultured bacterium. RNAcentral's name for it is "partial 16S ribosomal RNA". It matches the Rfam family "Bacterial small subunit ribosomal RNA", at positions 29 to 507 of the family's 1533-position model. The record is from RNAcentral.